CUGCAUCUAAUGGGCAGACAGAACAGCUACUGUCUACUGCUAAGAUUUCCAUUAUAGAUGCAAAGAAAAAGGUGCAUGCUUAUUUUCUGUCUGUCUGAUUGAGGCAGCCAAGAUUCAAUAGGGGGACAUAGAA
Molecule: small nucleolar RNA, 133 nt
Filed under: Capra hircus (goat)
Lineage: Eukaryota; Metazoa; Chordata; Mammalia; Artiodactyla; Bovidae
Description: Small nucleolar RNA SNORA31 (ENSCHIG00000004682.1)
Source: RNAcentral